Molecule: long non-coding RNA, 9824 nt
Organism: Planococcus citri (citrus mealybug)
Lineage: Eukaryota; Metazoa; Arthropoda; Insecta; Hemiptera; Pseudococcidae
Exons: 2
Source: RefSeq, a predicted model, not a curated record
AUGAAGAGUGAUAUUCCAAAACUCGCUUUGUCCAUUUUUAUCAAAGUUGGGUUUUCAGUGGUACCUGGUAGAUGAAGUAUUAACUCACAUUCCUACAUCAUCAUCCUACCAAAAUGAGGUGUUAAACUCACCUAAAUAGCCAAUUCACUAAAAAUUUAAAAAAAAAUAAUGUUCCAAAACGCGCUUUGUCCAUUUUUAUUGAAAUUUUUUUCAGCAGUAUUUAGUGGAUGAAAUGUAUACCUACACUCCUACAUCAUAAAUCCGCUCAAAUAAAGUGCUAAAAUCGCCUAAAAAGCCAAUUUACCCGUUUAAAGGGAAACUGUUUUUCCUCUCUCCUGAAAAGUUGUGAAAAUGGACAAAGCGAGUUUUGGAAUAUCACUCUUCAUAUGAAAAAAUUCCUGGAAACCUAUCAGCUUCAUUUUCAUAGCUAUUUUACUAAUUACGAGUACUUACUCCUAACGGCGUUUUAGUUAUUAAAGAUUCUGAUUUUGAUGAACCGACGUAUAAGUUCAAAAUCGCGGUUGUGAAAACCUACGAAUUUAUGUGUCGUUUCCUUUACUCAGUCAUUUAUGGUGUAGCGAUCUGUCAAAAAUGAAGUGCGACUUUUUACAAUUUUUUUUAAUUUAUUUAAUAUCCGCGUUGAUUUACUACACGCCUACUUACGGAAGGCCUACAUCUGGCGCGAACGACGAUCUUAACAAGAAAUUGGAUAAAAUAGACAAAGAUAUUAGCAAGAUAUUGAAUGAAGCACGCGAACAAUUGAAUUGGGUGAGCAAAAAAGUGGAUGAUCUGGUGAACAACCCAUGGGGCAACCCAUUGGGAACUACUCCAAAGCGAACAUUACAUUAGAGAUGCAACAUGAUAAUUUAUACAGACGGAUUGUUGAUGGGAACGGUGAGCUAACAAUGUUUCAAAAUUGAUAAUAGCCUGCUAAGUAGCCAUCUUCCGAGUGACCAAGAAUUGAGGGUUUGAAUAAGCGAAAAAAUAAAAUAAUCUGCUCUAAAGUUUUAUCCCUCUCGACUAGAAGUUUCUCUAAAAUAUGAUAUUCAUUGGUACCUAUUUGUUAACGCUCGCCUUUCAUUAGAUUGUACCUAAAUAUGUAAUACAAUUUUGCCAAAAUCAAAUCCCCUCAAGCGCGAUUUUAUUAAAAUUGAAAGUUUUAUUACCCUUUUCUCUUCGACAUUUCGUUGAAAUAAGAAGAAGUGCUUCAUUAGACUACGAAGAUUGAAAAAAAAAUUAAAAAUUUGCGCAUUAGAACUUUUUUUUUGUCAUUUUUUAAAAUGUGAAAAAAGUAAGAUUUAAUCCGGUGAUAUCACUGCGACCUUAUUCUACCAAGAAUCUGUUGUUUCAUCAUCACCACCAGGCACCAUGUUCCAAAAAUUCAAAGCUUUCGAGUUUAUCGAGCGACAACAUUUUCCAACAUUUUUUAAAACUCUUUACCUAUAAAACGGCUGAACCGAUUUUGAUGAAACUUGAAAUCUCGCUAGGCCUGCACGAUUCCUACGAAGUACAACACGACUCUCAAUUUUUGGUGAAUUGUUCAUGAACGAAUUGAUCAAUUUUUUGAAAGAACCAUUCGCCAACGAAUUGAUCAAAUCUUUGAUUUAUGAGUCAAUUCGUUCGCGUAUGAGCCACUAAAAAUCAUUCAAUUCGUUCGCGAAUGAUUCAUUAGAAAUUGAGCAAAUGAAUCGACUCGUUCGCGAACGAGUCACUUAUAUGAAUCGAUUUGUUCGCGAAUGAUCUAAAAAAAAUAAUUCAAUUCGUUCACGAAUGAUUCACCAAAAAUUGAGCAAAUGAAUCGAUUCGUUGGCAAAUGAGUCAGGAGUCACUACUACAAACCAAUUCGUUCGCGAAUGAUUCACUAAAAAUUAUUUAAUUUGUUCGCGAAUGAUUCACCAAAAAUUGACCAAAUGAAUCGAUUCGAUCGCAAAUAGUCACUAACACAAAUCAAUUCGUUCGCGAAUGAUUCAUCAGAAAUUGAGUUGAUGAAUCAAUUCGUUCGCGAACGAGUCACUCGUGCGAAUCAAUUCGUUCGCGGAUGAUUCACUAAAAAUUAUUUAUUUCGUUCGCGAAUGAUUCACCAAAAAUUGAGUUAAUGAAUCGAUUUGUUCGCGAACGAUUCACUUACACGACUCGAUUCGUUCGUGAACGAGUCACCUAUACCAAUCAAUUCGUUCGCGAACGAGUCACUUGUACGAAUCCAUUCGUUCACGAAUGAUUCACCAAAAAUUGACCAAAUGAAUCGAUUCGUUCGCAAAUGAGUCACUAAUACAAAUCAAUUCGUUCGCGAAUGAUUCACCAAAAAUUGAGUUGAUGAAUCGAUUCGUUCGCGAACGAUUCACUUACACGACUCGAUUCGUUCGCGAACGAGUCACUUGUACGAAUCCAUUCGUUCACGAAUGAUCCACCAAAAAUUGAGCAAAUGAAUCGAUUCGUUCACGAAUGAGUCACUUAUACGAAUCAAAUCGUUCGCGAAUGAUUUAAAAAAAUAAUUCAAUUCGUCGGUGAAUGAUUCACCAAAAAUUGGCCAAAUGAAUCGAUUCGUUCGCAAAUAGUCACCAAUACAAAUCAAUUCGUUCGCAAAUGAUUCAUCAGAAAUUCAGUUAAUGUAUCCAUUCGUUCGCGAACAAGUCACUCAUGCGAAUCAAUUCCUUUACGAAUGAUUCACUAAAAAUUAUUUAAUUCGUUCGCAAAUGAUUCACCAAAAAUUGAGGUAAUGAAUCGAUUCGUUCGCGAAUGAUUCACUUACACGACUCGAUUCGUUCGCGAACGAGUCACUUAUACCAAUCAAUUCGUUCGCGAACGAGUCACUUGUACGAAUCCAAUCGUUCGCGAAUGAUCCACCAAAAAUUGAGCAAAUGAAUCGAUUCGUUCGCGAAUCAUUUAAAAAAAUAAUUCAAUUCGUUCGUGAGUGAUUCACCAAAAAUUGAGCAAAUGAAUCGAUUCGUUCGCAAAUAGUCACCAAAACAAAUCAAUUCGUUCGCGAAUGAUUCAUCAGAAAUUGAGUUAAUGAAUAGAUUCGUUCGCGAACGAGUCACUCAUGCGAAUCAAUUCGUUCGCAAAUGAUUCACUAAAAAUUAUUUAAUUCGUUCGCAAAUGAUUCGCCAAAAAUUGAGGCAAUGAAUCGAUUCGUUCCCGAACGAGUCCCUUAUACGAAUCGAUUCGUUCGCGAACGAGUCCCUUAUACGAAUCGAUUCGUUCGCGAACAAGUCACUUAUACGAAUCAAUUCGUUCGCGAAUGAUUUAAAAAAUAAUUCAAUUCGUUCGCGAAUGAUCCACCAAAAAUUGAGCAAAUGAAUCGAUUCGUUCGCGAAUCAUUUAAAAAAAUAAUUCAAUUCGUUCGUGAGUGAUUCACCAAAAAUUGAGCAAAUGAAUCGAUUCGUUCGCAAAUAGUCACCAAAACAAAUCAAUUCGUUCGCGAAUGAUUCAUCAGAAAUUAAGUUAAUGAAUAGAUUCGUUCGCGAACGAGUCACUCAUGCGAAUCAAUUCGUUCGCAAAUGAUUCACUAAAAAUUAUUUAAUUCGUUCGCAAAUGAUUCGCCAAAAAUUGAGGCAAUGAAUCGAUUCGUUCCCGAACGAGUCCCUUAUACGAAUCGAUUCGUUCGCGAACGAGUCCCUUAUACGAAUCGAUUCGUUCGCGAACAAGUCACUUAUACGAAUCAAUUCGUUCGCGAAUGAUUUAAAAAAUAAUUCAAUUCGUUCGUGAAGGAUUCACCAAACAUUGGGCAAAUGAAUCGAUUCGUUCGUGGAUAAUUCACUAAAAAUUAUUCAAUUUGUUCGAUGAUGAUUCAUCAAAAAUUGGGUUAGUUAGUGAAUCGAUUCUUUCGCGAACGAGUCAGUUAUACGAAUCAAUUCGUCCGCAAAUGAUUCACUAAAAAUUAUUUAAUUCGUUCGCAAAUGAUUCACCAAAAAUUGAGGCAAUGAAUCGAUUCGUUCCCGAAUGAGUCACUUAUACGAAUCGAUUCGUUCGCGAAUGAUUUAAAAAAUAAUUCAAUUCGUUCGUGAAGGAUUCACCAAAUAUCGGGCAAAUAAAUCGAUUCGUUCAUGGAUAAUUCACUAAAAAUUAUUCAAUUUGUUCGAUGAUGAUUCAUCAAAAAUUGGGUUAGUGAAUCGAUUCUUUCGCGAACGAGUCAGUUAUACGAAUCGAUUCGUUCGCGAACGAGUCAGUUAUACGAAUCAAUUCGUUCGCAAAUGAUUCACUAAAAAUUAUUUAAUUCGUUCGCAAAUGAUUCACCAAAAGUUGAGGCAAUGAAUCGAUUCGUUCCCGAACGAUUCCCUUGUACGAAUCGAUUCGUUCGCGAACGAGUCCCUUAUACGAAUCGAUUCGUUCGCGAACAAGUCACUUAUACGAAUCAAUUCUUUCGCGAAUGAUUUAAAAAAUAAUUCAAUUCGUUCGUGAAGGAUUCACCAAAUAUUGGGCAAAUGAAUCGAUUCGUUCGUCGAUAAUUCACUAAAAAUUAUUCAAUUUGUUCGCGGAUGAUUCAUCAAAAAUUGGGUUAGUGAAUCGAUUCGUUCGCGAACGAGUCAGUUAUACGAAUCGAUUCGUUCGCGAACGAGUCACUUGUACAAAUGAAUUCGUUCGCGAUCGAUUUAAAAAAAUAAUUCGUUCGUGAAUGACUCACCAAAAAUUGAGCAAAUGAAUCGAUUCGUAGGCAAAAAGUCACCAAUACAAAUCAAUUCGUUCGCGAAUGAUUCACCGAAAAUUGACCAAAUGAAUCGAUUCGUUCGCAAAUGAGUCACUAAUACAAAUUCGUAGGCAAAAAGUCACCAAUACAAAUCAAUUCGUUCGCGAAUGAUUCACCGAAAAUUGACCAAAUGAAUCAAUUCGUCCGCAAAUGAUUCACCAAAAAUUGAGGCAAUGAAUCGAUUCGUUCCCGAAUGAGUCACUUAUACGAAUCGAUUCGUUCGCGAAUGAUUUAAAAAAUAAUUCAAUUCGUUCGUGAAGGAUUCACCAAAUAUCGGGCAAAUAAAUCGAUUCGUUCAUGGAUAAUUCACUAAAAAUUAUUCAAUUUGUUCGAUGAUGAUUCAUCAAAAAUUGGGUUAGUGAAUCGAUUCUUUCGCGAACGAGUCAGUUAUACGAAUCGAUUCGUUCGCGAACGAGUCAGUUAUACGAAUCAAUUCGUUCGCAAAUGAUUCACUAAAAAUUAUUUAAUUCGUUCGCAAAUGAUUCACCAAAAGUUGAGGCAAUGAAUCGAUUCGUUCCCGAACGAUUCCCUUGUACGAAUCGAUUCGUUCGCGAACGAGUCCCUUAUACGAAUCGAUUCGUUCGCGAACAAGUCACUUAUACGAAUCAAUUCUUUCGCGAAUGAUUUAAAAAAUAAUUCAAUUCGUUCGUGAAGGAUUCACCAAAUAUUGGGCAAAUGAAUCGAUUCGUUCGUCGAUAAUUCACUAAAAAUUAUUCAAUUUGUUCGCGGAUGAUUCAUCAAAAAUUGGGUUAGUGAAUCGAUUCGUUCGCGAACGAGUCAGUUAUACGAAUCGAUUCGUUCGCGAACGAGUCACUUGUACAAAUGAAUUCGUUCGCGAUCGAUUUAAAAAAAUAAUUCGUUCGUGAAUGACUCACCAAAAAUUGAGCAAAUGAAUCGAUUCGUAGGCAAAAAGUCACCAAUACAAAUCAAUUCGUUCGCGAAUGAUUCACCGAAAAUUGACCAAAUGAAUCGAUUCGUUCGCAAAUGAGUCACUAAUACAAAGCAAUUCGUUCGCGAAUGAUUCACCAUGUAAUGAAUCGAUUCGUUCGCGAACGAUUCACUUACACGACUCGAUUUGUUCGCGAACGAGUCACUUAUACUAAUCAAUUCGUUCACGAACGAGUCACUUGUACAAAUCCAUUCGUUCACGAAUGAUUCACCAAAAAUUGAGCAAACGAAUCGAUUCGUUCGCAAACCGUCACUAAUACAAAUCAGUUCGUUCGCGAAUGAUUCGCCAAAAAUUGAGUUAAUGAAUCGAUUCAUUCGCGAACGAGUCACUCAUGCGAAUCUAUUCGUUCGCGAAUGAUUCACCUAGAAAUCAAUCGAUUUGUUCAAUCACCUAUCAGUUGUGAAUGAAUGGAUUCGAUUCACUUGCCUUGUAAACAGAUCAAUUCCUAUGCAAUAAGUAUAGUUUCACAAAAACCGAAUAAAUCGUAAAUUAGUUGAUCCGUUUGCGAAUGAUUCACCAAAAAAUCAAUCAUUUAAUCCCCAAUCGUUCGUUAAUGAUUCGAUUCGAUUGUAUACAGACCAAUUGCUGUACAAAUAUUAAUUUCAAAUUUUGUAAAAAAAGAUCCGUUUUUUCAAAAAUUCAUCACUAAAUUGUCUAAUUAAGAAAGGUCCACAAUAAAAUUGUAAAUAUGUUUUGUAUUGUUUCGUUGUGUUUUUUGGAUAUCAUUCAUGAUAGAUAAUUGUUCCAUUCUUUGAUGUUUAUAUUAUGUAUUAGGUAUGCGAUUUUGUUAUGAUUUAAAUUGUUCUUUAUUGUUUGCAAACCCGAAUUCAAAUACUUAGUGUAAUAUGCAUGUUCUAUGUUUUCUUAUUUUGGAAGUUAUGAUUUAGAGGUUAUUACAAUUGAAUUCUUUUAAAAAAAAUUCCAAAGUGUCGCUGAAUCUUUUUUUUUCAACAUGAAGAAUCGAUUUAUCAUCGCUAUUUUCGCAACUUUAACAAAUCUACAAAAAUUGCUCAACAGUUUUCUUAAAAAUCAAGGCAAAUUAAUCUCUAAUCUAUCUGAGCAGAUCAUGAUUUGAAAGUCAAUAAAUUUUUACCCUUCCCAGUGGCCCCAAAAAAAGUACAGAACCAUUUAGGUACUUGAUUAUUUUUCAUUUUUAAUCUUUCUAGUUCGAUAUGAAAAAAUUCCUUGAAACCUAUCAGCUUCAUUUUCAUAGCUACUUUACUGACGAGUACUUACUCCCAACGACGUUUUAGUUAUUAGAGAUUCUGAUCUUGAUGAACAGGCGUAUACGUAAGUUCAAAAUUACGGUUGUGAAAACCUACGAAUUUUUGUGUCGUUUCCUGUACUUAGUCUUUUACGGUGUAUCGAUUUGUCAAAAAUGAAGUGCAACUUUUUACAGUUUUAUUUAAUUUAUUUAAUAUCCGCGUUGAUUUACUACACGCCUACUUACGGAAGGACUACAUCGGGCGCGGAUGACGAAUUUUUCAAUAGAUUGGAUAAAAUGAACGAUAAUUUGUCUAGCUUGCGCAAAAGUGUGGAUGAGCUGUUGAAAAGCCAAUGGGGAACUACUCCAAAGCGAACAAUACAUUAGAGAUGCUACGUGAUAAUUUGUACAGACGGAUUGUCGAUGGGAAUGAGGACAUCACGGAUGAAGAUGAAGAAACCGUAAUAGAAGUUCUCAAGAGAAGAGAUAAAUUGACUCCGAGAACAAUAAAUUAAUUUAUCACUUUCCAAUCUUAGACUAAGUACAUACGCAAGUAGUAAGAACAUGGACCAGGGACCAGGCAAUAUAUAUUUUUUUAAAAUCUAUCUUCACUCAAAAAUAGACUUUUCUUCAAGUUAGGGAUCUGGUUGGGAUGAAUAAUUAUAAAAUGGCUUAGGUGGUCCACUUUUCUACCAUUAACAUCGUUGUCGUCGUUUCCUGGUAAGUGGUAGGCCUGUUGGCCUGUCUGCUACGGUGUGGAACCUGUUGAGGAUGAGCCUGAGGUAUCAGUGAGUUUCUUCCUUGGUCUCCCUCUGCUUCUCUACCCCGUUGGUGUAUAUUGGAGGACCUGUUUUGGUGAUAGUCGGGGAGCCCACUUAAGGAUAAAUUGCACCCCCCCGGUCGAUCCUCCGGGACAACUUUUUUCUUAAAGGGGGAGUCCUAAGGAACAUUUCUAGCCCUUGUACUCAAAAAAAAAAGUGGCCCUACUUACAAAAUGGCGGCCAUUUUGAUUGACAGGUCAUUCAAACUGUACAAAGGUAGAUCGAAAGAUCCAGCAAAAAUUGAUCACCUGUCAAAAUUUCAAGUGCUAAAGUGCUUUUUUCGAUUUUUGGUGAAUUUUUGAAAAUCAAAUUUAGGCUAAAAAUGAGGGAAAAAAUCAAAAUGUUACCAAAUUGACCAAGAAAGCUGAAAUUUGGGAUACACCCUAUUUUCGACAUGCCAAAUCGAUUGGAAACUGUUUCAAACCGUUUUGAGCAGUUCUGGAGCCUCCAGCAGAUUUUUGAAACUCGAAAUUCCCACAAAAUUUCACCAAAAUGGAGUUGGAAAGUUGAAAUUCAUUCUGCAAACUAAUUUCAAUACGCUACGAAGUCAACUGCAGGGGAAUUUCAAGUCGUUUUGGGGUUCCAGUGACCUUUCGAAAAUUACUGGAGUCUCCAGCAGAUUUUUGAAACUUGAAAUUCCCACAGUAUUUUAUCAAAUGCAGUUAGCUAGCUGAAAUUUACUUCGCAAACUGAUUUCAAUACGAUAUGAAGUCGACUGCAUGGUGGUUUCAAGUGGGUUUGAAGCUUCCCACUACUUUUUGGAAAUUUCAAUUUUCCAAAAAACACCAUACGACCUCUCAAAAAGUGGCUGGAGGCUCCAAAACAACUUGAACCCACCUGAAAUCGUCUUCAGAGAGUGUUGAAAUUGAAGUGUAAAGUAAAUUUCAGCUUUCCAUCUCCAUUUUAUGAAAUUUUGUGAAAAUUCAAAGUUUCAAAAAUCUACUGGAGGCUCCAGUAAUUUUCAAAAAACCGCUGGAUGCUCCAAAUCGACUUGAAAUUUCCCUGCAGUUGACUUCGUAGCGUAUUGAAAUUAGUUUGCAGAAUGAAUUUCAACUUUCCAACUCCAUUUUGGUGAAAUUUUGUGGGAAUUUCGAGUUUCAAAAAUCUGCUGGAGGCUCCAGAACUGCUCAAAACGGUUUGAAACAGUUUCCAAUCGAUUUGGCAUGUCGAAAAUAGGGUGUAUCCCAAAUUUCAGCUUUCUUGGUCAAUUUGGUAACAUUUUGAUUUUUCCCCUCAUUUUUAGCCUAAAUUUGAUUUUCAAAAAUUCACCAAAAAUCGAAAAAAGCACUUUAGCACUUGAAAUUUUGACAGGUGAUAAAUUUUUGCUUGAUCUUUCGAUCUACCUUUGUACAGUUUGAAAAAUGUUGUGCAAGUCCUAUUUUGAAACGCAAAAUCUGCGAUUUCAGCUGACCUGUCAAUCAAAAUGGCCGCCAUUUUGUAAGUAGGGCCACUUUUUUUUUUGAGUACAAGGGCUAGAAAUGUUCCUUAGGACUCCCCCUUUAAGAAAAAAGUUGUCCCGGAGGAUCGACGGGGGGGGGGUGCAAUUUAUCCUUAAGUGGGCUCCCCGGCUAUGAUCUUGUUUCCUCCAUCCUCUUGACAUGAUUUCUCCAAUCUUUCCUAUACUGUUUUAUCCUCUUCAUGACUGGCUUAACUCCGAGAUCUGCUGUUAUUUUCUCAGAUGGGACUCUAUCAGUCACAACUGUAUGCAACUCAUCUGAUGAAAAAUUACAGAAAUUCACUUUUCGGGAGACAAAGGAAAACCCUCGUAUAUGUUUUUCUAUUGUUUCGUUGUGUUUUUUGAAUAUCAUUUAUGAUUAUGAUAGAUAAUUGUUCUAAUUUUUGAUGUUUAUAAUAUAUGUAAUUAUGUAUUACGCGAUUUUGUUAUGAUUUACUUGAAUUGUUCUUUAUUAUUUGCAAACCUGAAUUCAAAUACCUAGUCCUAGUGUAAUAUAAGGUACGGUUAUGUAAUGUUCAAUGUUUUCUUAUUUUUGUAAUUUUAUUGUUUAUUUUUGUAUGCGUCAUUUUGUACCUACGUGUGAUGUUAUUACUUAUAAUUGCAUUUUUAUUUACAACAAAAAUUAUUCAAAUAUAUGUAGGUACCUAUAUACUUGAACAUUGUAGAAGUGUUUUCUGAUACUCAUACAGUAUACAACCCUUCUCAGCGCU